GACGAACGCUGGCGGCGUGCUUAACACAUGCAAGUCGAACGGAAAGCCCCCUUCGGGGGGACUCGAGUGGCGAACGGGUGAGUAACACGUGGGUGAUCUGCCCUGCACUUUGGGAUAAGCCUGGGAAACUGGGUCUGAUACCGGAUAGGACCACGGUCUGCAUGGAUGGUGGUGGAAAGCUUUUGCGGUGUGGGAUGGGCCCGCGGCCUAUCAGCUUGUUGGUGGGGUGAUGGCCUACCAAGGCGACGACGGGUAGCCGGCCUGAGAGGGUGUCCGGCCACACUGGGACUGAGAUACGGCCCAGACUCCUACGGGAGGCAGCAGUGGGGAAUAUUGCACAAUGGGCGCAAGCCUGAUGCAGCGACGCCGCGUGAGGGAUGACGGCCUUCGGGUUGUAAACCUCUUUCAACGCCGACGAAGCGGAAGUGACGGUAGGCGUAGAAGAAGCACCGGCCAACUACGUGCCAGCCGCUGCAGUAA
This 480-nucleotide ribosomal RNA is filed under the name uncultured bacterium. Its description in RNAcentral is "partial 16S ribosomal RNA". It matches the Rfam family "Bacterial small subunit ribosomal RNA", at positions 28 to 523 of the family's 1533-position model. The record is from RNAcentral.